This 401-nucleotide long non-coding RNA is filed under the name Numida meleagris (helmeted guineafowl). RNAcentral's name for it is "lncRNA (ENSNMEG00000017041.1)". Lineage: Eukaryota; Metazoa; Chordata; Aves; Galliformes; Numididae. The record is from RNAcentral.
UGGAUUUGGUGCCUCUAACCAGGAGACAUAAUAAGAGCUGUUGACCAGCCAUCAAAAUAAGGCCUCUGUUCAAUAUCAGUUCCCACCCUCUGUAGGUGAAACCACUUUCUGGGUUUACUUUCACUGUAGUGCAUCAGCCUGUGUCUCAGCUACUAUGAAACCCUCCACACCUCACUAACCUUCUGAGAGGUAGAGGGGAAAAAAAAGGGAAGUGGAACACUACGAUGUGAGGAGCCGGAGUUAUGACACGAGUACCUGCAGAUUUCCACAGCUCUGGAACAAAACAAAACAUUUAACAAGAUUGUUUUCCAAGAGAAGCUGGGCAGUAGCCAGAAGACCAUAGUGGUUGAAAAGUAUCAAGUGAAUGAAGUGAAAUAUUUGGAGUAAUUGCUUCAGAAAUG